AUUGGUUCUUUUUAGUUCCAGGUCAGUUUGAGUCAAUAAUUCAAGUAUCUGUAAAAUUUACUAUGUAAUUUGGCUACGUAAUGAGUCUAGCUCGGUUCGAGUAUUUAGGACAAAAAUAUCUAAAUAAUCCGAAAAGCCAAAAAAAAAUCAAAACACGAAAAUACCCAAAAUCAAACAAAUACGAGAAAUAACUAAAUAUCUAAAAGACCAAAAUCUUACCCGAGAACCAAAAAUAUCCAAUAUUUUAAAUAUAUUUUUAAAAUUUGAAAUUUUACCCAAAACCUUAAACUGUAACAGAAACCGUGAAUCCAAAAUUUACAAUAAUUUUUUAUUCUCAGAACAUAUAUGAAUUACUCAAAUAUACACAAUAUGAACAAAACAUUCUAGGUACUUUGGAUACCCAGAGUCCAACAGAGACCUGCAUGUCCAAAAAAAUCUAAUAGGUAUUUUUUCCCAAUCCCGAACCUCAACC
This 472-nucleotide long non-coding RNA is filed under the name Brassica napus (rape). Its description in RNAcentral is "long non-coding RNA (BNAP_LNC010348)". The record is from RNAcentral. Lineage: Eukaryota; Viridiplantae; Streptophyta; Magnoliopsida; Brassicales; Brassicaceae.